GCCGGGUGUGGUGGCGCACGCCUGUAAUCCCAACACUUUGGGAGGCCGAGGCAGGCGGAUCACCUGAGGUCAGGAGUUUGAGACCAGCCUGGCCAACAUGGUGAAACCCCGUCUCUA
This 117-nucleotide non-coding RNA is filed under the name Pan troglodytes (chimpanzee). The record is from Rfam by way of RNAcentral. Lineage: Eukaryota; Metazoa; Chordata; Mammalia; Primates; Hominidae.